This 281-nucleotide ribosomal RNA is filed under the name uncultured Pseudomonas sp. RNAcentral's name for it is "partial 16S ribosomal RNA". It matches the Rfam family "Bacterial small subunit ribosomal RNA", at positions 1100 to 1382 of the family's 1533-position model. Lineage: Bacteria; Pseudomonadati; Pseudomonadota; Gammaproteobacteria; Pseudomonadales; Pseudomonadaceae. The record is from RNAcentral.
AACCCUUGUCCUUAGUUACCAGCACGUUAUGGUGGGCACUCUAAGGAGACUGCCGGUGACAACCGGAGGAAGUGGGGAUGACGUCAAGUCAUCAUGGCCCUUACGGCCUGGGCUACACACGUGCUACAAUGGUCGGUACAAAGGGUUGCCAAGCCGCGAGGUGGAGCUAAUCCCAUAAAACCGAUCGUAGUCCGGAUCGCAGUCUGCAACUCGACUGCGUGAAGUCGGAAUCGCUAGUAAUCGUGAAUCAGAAUGUCACGGUGAAUACGUUCCCGGGCCUU